GAUGAACGCUAGCGGCAGGCCUAACACAUGCAAGUCGAGGGGCAGCACAGAAACAGCAAUGUUUUGGUGGCGACCGGCGGACGGGUGCGUAACGCGUAUGCAACCUACCUUUAACAGGGGGAUAACGGAGAGAAAUUUCCACUAGUACCCCAUAACAUCGAUCAAGGCAUCUUGAUUGGUUGAAAACUCCGGUGGUUAAAGAUGGGCAUGCGUUGUAUUAGGUAGUUGGUGAGGUAAUGGCUCACCAAGCCUACGAUACAUGGGGGACUGAGAGGUUAGCCCCCCACACUGGUACUGAGACACGGACCAGACUCCUACGGGAGGCAGCAGUGAGGAAUAUUGGUCAAUGGGGGCAACCCUGAACCAGCCAUGCCGCGUGCAGGAAGACGGCUCUAUGAGUUGUAAACUGCUUUUAAACAGGGAUAAAGCACAGUAUGUAUACUGUGUUGAAGGUACUGUAAGAAUAAGGAUCGGCUAACUCCGUGCCAGCAGCCGCAGUAA
This 501-nucleotide ribosomal RNA is filed under the name uncultured bacterium. RNAcentral's name for it is "partial 16S ribosomal RNA". It matches the Rfam family "Bacterial small subunit ribosomal RNA", at positions 28 to 523 of the family's 1533-position model. The record is from RNAcentral.